GACGAACGCUGGCGGCGUGCCUAAUACAUGCAAGUCGAACGAAGCUGUUUUAACUGGUGCUUGCACCGACUUAAACAACUGAGUGGCGAACGGGUGAGUAACACGUGGGUAACCUGCCCCAAAGCGGGGGAUAACAUUUGGAAACAGAUGCUAAUACCGCAUAACCACAGAAACCACAUGGUUUCUGUGUCAAAGAUGGUUUCGGCUAUCACUUUGGGAUGGACCCGCGGCGUAUUAGCUAGUUGGUAAGGUAAUGGCUUACCAAGGCAAUGAUACGUAGCCGAACUGAGAGGUUGGUCGGCCAGAUUGGGACUUAGACACGGCCCAAACUCCUACGGGAGGCAGCAGUAGGGAAUCUUCCACAAUGGACGAAAGUCUGAUGGAGCAACGCCGCGCGAGUGAAGAAGGUUUUCGGAUCGUAAAACUCUGUUGUCAGAGAAGAACGUGUGCGAGAGUAACUGCUCGUGCAGUGACGGUAUCUGGCCAGAAAGCCACGGCUAACUACGUGCCAGCCGCCGCAGUAA
Molecule: ribosomal RNA, 524 nt
Filed under: uncultured bacterium
Lineage: Bacteria
Description: partial 16S ribosomal RNA
Rfam family: Bacterial small subunit ribosomal RNA
Source: RNAcentral